UAGGGCAUCAUCUCUAACAAGGGCUAGCCCUACCUUUCUGUAUUGCUCAUUAUAUCUACACCACUGAUCUUAUCUCCAAUCCUUCUCGCACUCUCUUCUUGAUUUUGGCACUUCUCUCAAUUCCCCUAUGCUUUCUCUUUUCAAAUCUACUCCUCGCAUUUUGAAUCAUCUUUCUUCUUUCUCCCUCUUCAGGUCGUUGAAUGUUUGAUUGUGAUUUUUCUUUACAAUUGAUAUCGUUUGGACCAACAACAAUGCUCAGUAUACUUGACUCUCUUAGAUUAUUUCAUUUUAGUCUGUUUGUUCAUGAUAAAAUGUAUUGAGUGUUUUGAAACCAGAUAACGAAUUACUAAUUACUCUUUAGGCCGUUGAAUGUCCUUAUUCUUUCUAACUUUACCUAAUUACUGAUUUAGAUCUUGGGUCUGGAGGCUCCUAAUUAAUAUUACUAUUGUUGUUUUCUUAAAUCGAUUGUUUUUAUGUGGAAAUAAUUCGUGUUAUUUGAAGAGAAGGGAAGGGAAGAGAAGAGAAUAGAAAUAAGCUUAUUUUCCAGCGAGCUUAUCUUAGGGCACUCUACUUUUCUACUGUUAUCAUCCUUUUUAAUGGAUUUACAAAGUUGUCAAUGUUGGUGGCCAAAUUUCCUGUAAUUUACAAGCAUAGGGAUUUGCACUUUUAGAAUGUCAUAACUUUGUUUAUGAUAUGCUUAUUCUGAUAGAAUUUCAAUCUCAAAGUUCUUAAUUGUUUCUGAUUAAUAUAGAAUGUUUAAUCUGUUUUUAGCUGAUCUUGGUGGAUGGACCCGGAUUGUUGUGGAGAAACCUUUUGGCAAGGACUUGGCAUUUGCGGAGAAGUUAAGUUCCCAGAUUGGAGAAUUUUUUUAAGUUGUGUACUAAUGCUUGUUUUUUCUUUUGCCCCUGCAUUUUGUUCCUUAUAGAUCGUGUUCAAGGAGGACUUUGGUACUGAGGGGCGUGGUGGAUAUUUUGAUGAAAAUGGUGAUUUAGGAAGGACUGUUCAAACUACUGACUUUUCCAAACUACUGUUAUUCAGGUGCUCAAAGUGACGAGUUCAAGGUGGGCUACGUUAUUCUUGUGGAGGCAGGAGCAUAGUGAACGAGAUUUGGCUAGGAUUACUCCAUACGAGAUUAAUAUAGGUGUAAUCUUUUUAGAGGGGAUGGAGGUUGUUGAUUGUACAUUACUUUAUGAGGUUGUAAUAUUGACAAUGUUAAAGAUGUGAAAUGUUUAAAAAGAGAUAUUGGUGGAAAUUUGGUUUAUA
Molecule: long non-coding RNA, 1263 nt
Organism: Benincasa hispida (wax gourd)
Lineage: Eukaryota; Viridiplantae; Streptophyta; Magnoliopsida; Cucurbitales; Cucurbitaceae
Source: RefSeq, a predicted model, not a curated record